Molecule: ribosomal RNA, 206 nt
Filed under: uncultured bacterium
Lineage: Bacteria
Description: partial 16S ribosomal RNA
Rfam family: Bacterial small subunit ribosomal RNA
Source: RNAcentral
CGUGUAGGCGGUUUAAUAAGUCAGAUGUAAAAGCCCCGGCUCAACCGGGGAUGGUCAUUUGAAACUGUUAGGCUUGAGUGUGAGAGAGGGUAGUGGAAUUCCCAGUGUAGCGGUGAAAUGCGUAGAUAUUGGGAAGAACACCAGUAGCGAAGGCGGCUACCUGGCUCGCAACUGACGCUAAGGCGCGAAAGCGUGGGGAGCAAACA